GCACCGCUGGGGAGUCCUAUAAUAGGACGAAACGGCCGUCCAGUGC
Molecule: non-coding RNA, 46 nt
Organism: Schistosoma mansoni
Lineage: Eukaryota; Metazoa; Platyhelminthes; Trematoda; Strigeidida; Schistosomatidae
Source: Rfam